ACUGUCUGAUGACGUCAUGCUCCCACGACGUUAAUUCUUUAAUGGAACUUGUGUUGUCCCUUUUCAAACAUUACUCAAGGGUGUUCUAUUAAAAUCCCACAGAGAAAUGGGUAUUGUGUUCUACAAAGCCUAUUUGAAGUAUGUUGGCUUUUAGUUUUUGGGUACCGAUUGAAUAGUGACUGUUGUGAACAAAAACUAAAAAAACUGCUGGGUGGCGCCCAUUGCUUUGAUCUUACCUUUUGUGUGUCUAUCAAUCGAAGGCGUGCAUUCCAUGCAUAUUACCCAUCUAGCAAUCAGAUCCUCCGUUGAAUAAACACAACGUAAUAUUAGAAAACAACUCAUUAAGCGUAGACUUUGCCUCAAAACUUUAAUAGUAUUCCCCACCCCCUCCCC
This 393-nucleotide long non-coding RNA is filed under the name Physcomitrium patens. Its description in RNAcentral is "long non-coding RNA (PPAT_LNC014058)". The record is from RNAcentral. Lineage: Eukaryota; Viridiplantae; Streptophyta; Bryopsida; Funariales; Funariaceae.